ACGAACGCUGGCGGCGUGCUUAAUGAAUGCGAGUCGAGCGAGAUCCGGUGGAUAGAGGCUUCGGCUAAUAGAAUCCGGUGACAGCGGCAAAUGGGUGAGUAACACGUGGGUAACGUGCCCCUCAGUCGGGAACAACAGCGGGAAACCGCUGCUAAUGCCCGAUAGUCUGAGAGAGCCACAUGGCUUUUUUAGUAAAGCUCCGGCGCUGAGGGAUCGGCCCGCGGCGGAUUAGCUUGUUGGUGAGGUAACGGCUCACCAAGGCGACGAUCCGUAGCCGGUCUGAGAGGAUGGCCGGUCACACUGGGACUGAGACAUGGUCCAGACUCCUACGGGAGUUAGCAUCAGGGAAUCUUGCGCAAUGGGCGAAAGCCUGACGCAGCGACGCCGCGUGAGGGACGAAGGCCUGCGGGUCGUAAACCUCUGUCAGAAGGGACGAACACAAUGACGGUACCUUCUGAGGAAGCCCCGGCUAAUUACGU
Molecule: ribosomal RNA, 479 nt
Filed under: uncultured bacterium
Lineage: Bacteria
Description: bacterial SSU rRNA
Rfam family: Bacterial small subunit ribosomal RNA
Source: RNAcentral